This 397-nucleotide ribosomal RNA is filed under the name uncultured bacterium. Its description in RNAcentral is "partial 16S ribosomal RNA". It matches the Rfam family "Bacterial small subunit ribosomal RNA", at positions 523 to 918 of the family's 1533-position model. The record is from RNAcentral.
AUACGUAGGGGGCGAGCGUUGUCCGGAAUGAUUGGGCGUAAAGGGCGCGUAGGCGGCGCGGUAAGUCUGGAGUGAAAGUCCUGCUUUCAAGGUGGGAAUUGCUUUGGAUACUGCCGCGCUUGAGUGCAGGAGAGGUUAUCGGAAUUCCCAGUGUAGCGGUGAAAUGCGUAGAGAUUGGGAAGAACACCAGUGGCGAAGGCGGCUUACUGGGCUGUAACUGACGCUGAGGCGCGAAAGCGUGGGGAGCGAACAGGAUUAGAUACCCUGGUAGUCCACGCUGUAAACGAUGAAUGCUAGGUGUAGGGGGUAUCGACCCCUCCUGUGCCGGAGUAAACGCAAUAAGCAUUCCGCCUGGGGAGUACGGCCGCAAGGUUGAAACUCAAAGGAAUUGACGGGG